UUUCCUACGGGGGGCAGCAGUGGGGAAUAUUGCACAAUGGGCGAAAGCCUGAUGCAGCGACGCCGCGUGGGUGAAGAAGCGCCUCGGCGCGUAAAGCCCUGUCAGCAGGGAAGAAAAUGACGGUACCUGAAUAAGAGGCCCCGGCUAACUACGUGCCAGCAGCCGCGGUAAUACGUAGGGGGCAAGCGUUAUCCGAAUUUACUGGGUGUAAAGGGAGCGCAGACGGCAGAGCAAGUCUGGAGUGAAAGCCCGGGGCCCAACCCCGGAAC
This 269-nucleotide ribosomal RNA is filed under the name uncultured bacterium. RNAcentral's name for it is "partial 16S ribosomal RNA". It matches the Rfam family "Bacterial small subunit ribosomal RNA", at positions 335 to 621 of the family's 1533-position model. The record is from RNAcentral.